AUGCACGGGUUGACGACUAGUAUUUGUAAUUACCAACUGCUCUGUGAGGUGUAUCUUCAGCAAGAGCCGGCCGUAGAGCUGUUUAGAGAGUACUUUUAUCUGAACCGGCAGAACGAAUGCACCAAUGGUCCUAGCUUAGAACUUGGAGGCAUCUCAAUUCAGCACCGUCAGGGUGCUGUCUUCCCUCUCAUAGUUUUACCAAGUCACCCAAAGGACUGGAACCAGACUUGGUUUUACUGUCAAGAUAUCUCUCCAGCAAAUGAGAAGCCACUGCCGGGUUACCGCCCCCGUCGUCUUGACUCCAAGUUCACCCUUCCGGAUAAACUCACUAUUGCUGAACGUAAGAGGCUGCUUCCAUCCAUCAAAAGAAUCAAUGCUUUGUUGGGGAACGGUUUAACUGGAGUAGAUAUGACCCACUGCUGGAUCUCAUGGCGGGUUAUUCCAUUAAGCCGUCGAUCAAAAAUGAUGUAUGAAUAUGGUGGAGGCUCGGACAACUCUCUUUGUCACAGCCCAGUUGAACUCACCGAAGAAGACAUUGUUUCAAUGUCAAACCUUUUGGUGAAUGGGAAAUAUGAAGACUCUAGCAUUGUUGGGUUAAAUCCCUUCUGCAAGCUUAACCCAGUACCAGAAGCCAAUUCUGACUUUUGUAAGGUGAAAUAUGACUACGAGGCUGCCAAGAAGGAGAAAGCUGCGCCAUGA
This 699-nucleotide ribosomal RNA is filed under the name Triticum aestivum (bread wheat). Its description in RNAcentral is "partial small subunit ribosomal RNA". The record is from RNAcentral. Lineage: Eukaryota; Viridiplantae; Streptophyta; Magnoliopsida; Poales; Poaceae.